RNAcentral lists this transfer RNA (71 nucleotides) under Lepidogalaxias salamandroides (salamanderfish). RNAcentral describes it as "tRNA-Val". It matches the Rfam family "tRNA". Rfam says of the family: Transfer RNA (tRNA) molecules are approximately 80 nucleotides in length. Their secondary structure includes four short double-helical elements and three loops (D, anti-codon, and T loops). The record is from RNAcentral. Lineage: Eukaryota; Metazoa; Chordata; Actinopteri; Lepidogalaxiiformes.
CAGAGCGUAGCUUAAAGCUAAAGCAUCUCUUUUACACUGAGAAGAUGUCCAUGCAAACAGGACCGCACUGA